GAAUUAGAAACGUUGAUUUUUAAAACAACGGAGCCGUCGCGAUCUACGCCUAAGGUUAUCGAAACUGCUGCUGACGGAAUAUCCGAUAAAACGUCUGGUCCGCCUCAUCUACAGAGGCAAUCUGAUCCUAGUUACGUAGAAGACGUUGAGCUGAUGAGCGUCCUUGAGCCCGAACCCUUAGAGGUGACAACAUCAGGGGGAGCGGAAGCCCCCGAGCAAACUUUGAACGGGUCUACAGCAGGAGGAGCG
This is a long non-coding RNA of Clarias gariepinus (North African catfish), 249 nucleotides long. RefSeq lists it as uncharacterized. Lineage: Eukaryota; Metazoa; Chordata; Actinopteri; Siluriformes; Clariidae. The transcript is spliced from 3 exons. The record is from RefSeq and is a predicted model, not a curated record.